Nematostella vectensis (starlet sea anemone) is the source of this 1515-nucleotide long non-coding RNA. RefSeq lists it as uncharacterized. The transcript is spliced from 2 exons. The record is from RefSeq and is a predicted model, not a curated record. NCBI's taxonomy places the organism in Eukaryota, Metazoa, Cnidaria, Anthozoa, Actiniaria, Edwardsiidae.
CCCGUGAAAACAGCAUCAGCCCCGUGAAGACAGCAACAUCAGCCAAUACUACUGGCACCGCUAAUCCCCGUGAAAACAGCGUCAACAACAGCCAAUACAACUUCUGGCACCGCUAAUCCCCGUGAAAACAGCAACAUCAGCCAAUACUACUGGCACCGCUAAGCCCUGCCAGCAUUGCUGGUACCGCUAAUCCCCAGCGACAACAUCACCCAGUAUUUUUGGUACCCAGGGUAAAUUUGCCCUAACCCACGAUUACAUUUUUACCCUCGGAUUAGUUCUGUCCCCGAAACGAUGGUUAGCGCUAACUCUGGGUUAGUCUAGAGGUAAAAUCUAACCCUUUUUGCGAAGUGGGUUAACUCGCUAACCUACGGUUUAGUUGGCGUAACACAGGCCUCUCAAACUCUGUAAUAGAACUAAAGUUUCAUAAAAUGAAGUUGCCGACAAAAAGACGUUACACAAAAACAUUGUAGGGAUCAAAUGUCCUAACAUUUCGCUUUGUUAAACGACCUUCGUUGCGAUGCUGACUCGAAAAUUGUGCUGGGACAGACAGAAAGUUACAUGAAAUUUAAACUUGAAAUGAAUCUGUCUCGCUAGUGUCACGCACCAAAUCAAAUCCUGCAAAUGACAUUUUUGGCAAUUAAUUGGAGGUAAUUACAGGCGAUGUAGAGGUGUUGUGGGCCUUCUCUGCGAAUAUAAAACCACCAAAAGUAAAUUUGAGUUGCUCUCUAUUGAUCUACUGGGUAUGCUGUGUGAAUUUCGUCAAACCAGUUUUUCACUCGCUUAAUCCAGGGUUAGUAAAUCGGGGGAUUACUUGGCAUUCGGGAACGGAACCGGCCCCUGUUUCCGUACAUCACCCAGAAACGCGUCGGAGUGAAGUUGCGAAUCGCCCAAGACCUAUCGUCAAGACCCAUUGUCAGUCUGCUGGAGUUAGGGGGUUGAGAUGGGGGAAGGGCUAUGGUUUCGAAAGAUAACAUCUAAAUACGUACUUUACUGCGUGAAGCCACUUCAUCGCGACUGAGACGAACUAUUUCGUCAGAUCUUAUCGAGAAUGGCAACCGUCUUACAGUGUCUUUAAAUAAACCAUAAUAGACCGGGCUCUUGGUCAAUGGAACGAUGAAGACAUGAUUAAAAAGCUAUUUAUUAUAUUGCUGCAAGAGAACGCGCCCUUUUUGGCUGGUUUUCGAGACAGUACAAGUUUAUUCUUGGAUUACGUAGAUUAUUUCGCGCGUUUUCGCAUAUUCUAACUUAUUUUGCUAGAUUUCUUUCAUAUUUGAAGAAAGUUUUGGUAUGUUAACACGAAAAUAGAUGUAGUUUGAAACCUUCCACGUUUACGAGUCAGUGAUUUUGAUAGAGUGACGAUUUAUUGCGAUUUAACGAUGAAGGAGGAGAUGACAGCCGGGGUUUAAUUAUAUGAUUUUUUUAUAUUAGAUUCGUUAUUUUGGUUCAAGAACACUUGCGGGUGUUUUGCACGAUUUUUAUCCCAUAUUCUGUUACUCUACAAGUAGAAUUUGAAAU